This 504-nucleotide ribosomal RNA is filed under the name uncultured bacterium. RNAcentral describes it as "partial 16S ribosomal RNA". It matches the Rfam family "Bacterial small subunit ribosomal RNA", at positions 30 to 523 of the family's 1533-position model. The record is from RNAcentral.
AUUGAACGCUGGCGACAGGCCUAACACAUGCAAGUCGAACGGUAGCACAGAGAGCUUGCUCUCGGGUGACGAGUGGCGGACGGGUGAGUAAUGUCUGGCAAACUGCCCGAUGGAGGGGGAUAACUACUGGAAACGGUAGCUAAUACCGCAUAACGUCGCAAGACCAAAGUGGGGGACCUUCGGGCCUCACACCAUCGGAUGUGCCCAGAUGGGAUUAGCUAGUAGGUGGGGUAAUGGCUCACCUAGGCGACGAUCCCUAGCUGGUCUGAGAGGAUGACCAGCCACACUGGAACUGAGACACGGUCCAGACUCCUACGGGAGGCAGCAGUGGGGAAUAUUGCACAAUGGGCGCAAGCCUGAUGCAGCCAUGCCGCGUGUAUGAAGAAGGCCUUCGGGUUGUAAAGUACUUUCAGCGGGGAGGAAGGCGGUGGAGUUAAUAACUUCACCGAUUGACGUUACCCGCAGAAGAAGCACCGGCUAACUCCGUGCCAGCAGCCGCAGUAA